RNA transcript from Sapajus apella (tufted capuchin), 1817 nucleotides. It is a transcript of the gene named ribonucleoside-diphosphate reductase subunit M2 pseudogene, with no coding region annotated. The transcript is spliced from 3 exons. The record is from RefSeq and is a predicted model, not a curated record. Lineage: Eukaryota; Metazoa; Chordata; Mammalia; Primates; Cebidae.
AUGCUGGAAGCCACCCCCAGCAGCUGCUCCCAGGAUCAGGGGCCCGAACCCCUCUCUUCCCUUAGCUGGCUCAGUGUACAAAGCUUCCCAGCCGCCCGGCCCCGACUGCCAGCUCUCCUUCGUCGCGCCGCCACCGUGCUCUCCUUCCGCGUCCCGCUCGCGCCCAUCCCGGACCCGCAGCAGCUGCAACUCUCGCCGCUGAAGGGGCCCAGCCUGGUCGACGAGGAGGACACGGCCCCGGCCCUGAAGGAGACCCGCGCCCUGGCCAGCAAGACCGCGAGGAGGAUCUUCCAGGAGCCCACGGAGCCGAAAACUAGAGCGGCCCCGCACGGAGAGGCGGAUGAGCCGCUGCUGAGAGAAACCGCGCCGCUUUGUCAUUUUCCCCAUCGAGUACCACGAUAUCUGGCAGGUGUAUAAGAAGACGGAGGCCUCCUUUUGGACCGCCGAAGAGGUGGACCCGUCCAAGGACAUUCGGCACUGGGAAUCCCUGAAGCCCGAGGAGAGACACUUUAUAUCCCACGUUCUGAGUUUCUUUGCAGCAAGUGACGGCAUAGUAAAUGAAAACUUAGUGGAGCGAUUUAGCCAAGAAAUUCGGAUUACAGAGGCCCGCUGUUUCUAUGGAUUCCAAAUUGGCAUGGAAAACAUACAUUCUGAAAUGUAUAGUCUCCGUAUUGACACGUAUAUAAAAGAUCGCAGCGAAAGGGAAUUUCUCUUCAAUGCCAUUGAAACGAUGCCUUGUGUCAAGAAGAAGGCAGACCGGGCCUUGCGCUGGACUGGGGACAAAGAGGCUACCUAUGGUGAACUGCCUUUGCUGCAGUGGAAGGCGUCUUCUGUUCUGGUUCUUUAGCUUCCAUAUUCUGGCUUAAGAAACGAGGACUGAUGCCUGGCCUCACAUUUUCUAAUGAACUUUUUAGCAGAGAUGAGGGUUUACACUGUGAUUUUGCUUGCCUGAUGUUCCAACACCUAGUACACAAACCAUCAGAGGAGGGAGUAAGAGAAAUAAUUAUCAAUGCUGUUCGGAUAGAACAGGAGUUCCUCACCGAGGCCUUGCCUGUGAAGCUCAUUGGGAUGAAUUGCACUCUAAUGAAGCAAUACAUUGAGUUUGUGGCAGACAGACUUAUGCUGGACCUGGGUUUUAGCAAGGUUUUCAGAGUAGAGAGUCCAUUUGACUUUAUGGAGAAUAUUCCACUGGAAGGAAAGAUUAACUUCUUUGAGAAGAGAGUAGGCGAGCAUUAGAGGAUGGGAGUGGUGUCAAGUCCCACAGAGAAUUCUUUUACCUUGGAUGCUGACUUCUAAAUGAACUGAAGAUGUGCCUUUAUUUUGCCGAGUUUUUUUCCAUCUCAUGAAAAAAUCAGCUAAAGUGUUAUCAAUUAGCUACACCAUGCAUUGUCCGUAAUGUUCAUUAACAGCGUCUUUAAAACUGUGUAGCUACCUCACAACCAGUCCUGCUUAUUUAUAAUGCUGGUGCUAUCACCUUUUGCUAGCAGGCUGGCUGGCUGUGACUUACCAUAGCAGUGACAGUGGCAGUCUUCUUGGCUUUAAAGUGACGGAUGACCUUCUAGUGAGCUUGACACAGCAGGAUUAAACAUUUCAUUUAACCAGCACAGGCAGUUGAAAGACGCAGCCUUGCUGCUUCAAUGCAGAUUUUAAUAUUUCCUUAAAUAUAAAACUGGCACUGUACAAACAAACAUUGUUUGUACUCAAAAGAUGAUAAUAGUUUGAUUUGUUUGGUUUCUAUACCAAAUACAAAGCAUUCUCCUGACCACUAACAGGAGCCAAUUCACAAUUCACUAAAGGACUAAAGUAAGUUAAACUUG